AGAAUGUAUUAGCAUCCCUCACAUCUGUUAUACUCAACAGAAACCAUUUUGAUUGUUCUUUGCUCGGAUGGAUAUUACUAUCUAAACGUUACUUUCAAAUGCUAAAAGGGAAAAAAAGUUUAAGUGAUAAAAGAAAAAGAAAAAGUUGAUUGAAUAAGAAAAGAAAGAACUUGCAUUGCAAAGAGUUAUGAAGUGAAAAAUAUUAUUUUGGACCAAUGAUUACGUUGUUGGAUCCAUAGGAUAAGUAUGCCUGAACCAAAGAGUGUGACAUUAACCAAUAAGUGGUAUGACCAAAGGGGAAAGAGGACGUUUGCAUAAGCAUUAUGUCUGAUAAGGCAAACAAUGCAUGAGAAAUGGGUUUUCCUCAACACGGGGUCUGACAAGGCAAACAAGAAAGAAAAGGGUUUGUCUAAGCACAAGGUCUGACAAGACAAACAUGCAUGAAGAUAAUGUUUGACUAAGAACUAGAUCUGACAAGGCAACAAUGCAUGAGAAAGAGGUUUGCCU
Molecule: long non-coding RNA, 507 nt
Filed under: Lathyrus oleraceus (garden pea)
Lineage: Eukaryota; Viridiplantae; Streptophyta; Magnoliopsida; Fabales; Fabaceae
Description: Pisum sativum (pea) long non-coding RNA (PSAT_LNC028180)
Source: RNAcentral